Molecule: microRNA, 22 nt
Filed under: Chrysemys picta bellii (western painted turtle)
Lineage: Eukaryota; Metazoa; Chordata; Testudines; Emydidae
Also listed under: 1 other name
Description: Cpi-Mir-34-P3c_3p (mature (co-guide))
Source: RNAcentral
CAGCUAACCUACAUCUGCUAUC